GAUGAACGUUGGCGGCGUGCCUAACACAUGCAAGUCGAACGGAAAUAGCAAUAUUUGAGUGGCGCACGGGUGAGUAACACGUAGCUAAUCUACCUCAAAGCGCGGGAUAACGUGUCGAAAGACAGGCUAAUACCGCAUAAGCUCCCGAUCUGUAGAGGAUUGGGAGAAAAGGCGUAAGUCACUUUGAGAUGAGGCUGCGGCCCAUCAGCUAGUUGGUGCGGUAAUGGCGUACCAAGGCGACGACGGGUAGGGGACCUGAGAGGGUGACCCCCCAACUGGGACUGAGACACGGCCCAGACUCCUACGGGAGGCAGCAGUGAGGAAUAUUGCACAAUGGGCGAAAGCCUGAUGCAGCGACGCCGCGUGGGUGAAGAAGGUUUUCGGAUCGUAAAACCCUUUUCUGUGUGACGAGCAAGGACGGUAGCACAGGAAUAAGGUCUCGGCUAACUACGUG
Molecule: ribosomal RNA, 454 nt
Filed under: uncultured bacterium
Lineage: Bacteria
Description: bacterial SSU rRNA
Rfam family: Bacterial small subunit ribosomal RNA
Source: RNAcentral